GGUUAUAUUUUGUAAUGGUUAGCACUCUGGACUUUGAAUCCAGCGAUCUGAGUUCAAAUCUCGGUAGGACCA
Molecule: transfer RNA, 72 nt
Filed under: Danionella translucida
Lineage: Eukaryota; Metazoa; Chordata; Actinopteri; Cypriniformes; Danionidae
Also listed under: 1 other name
Rfam family: tRNA
About the family: Transfer RNA (tRNA) molecules are approximately 80 nucleotides in length. Their secondary structure includes four short double-helical elements and three loops (D, anti-codon, and T loops).
Source: Rfam by way of RNAcentral